UUCUACUUAAUCCAAUCUCGGAUACAUGAUAGAAGAGCCUCAAUUGUUUUGAUAUUCAAUUUGCUCCGGUGUUUAUCAACCAGCUGAUUGGUCUCUUGCUGAGAAGAAUCUCAAGCAUUGCCAUGAAGUUGUUUAUCCCAAUCAAUAAUAAUCGUACAAUGAAUCCUUUAAAACUCACCUUCUUAAACUUCACAAAGUAGGCCCAACUUGGCAGGUAUGGUAACAACAAAUUCGUCG
RNAcentral lists this long non-coding RNA (237 nucleotides) under Setaria italica (foxtail millet). RNAcentral's name for it is "long non-coding RNA (SITA_LNC004280)". Lineage: Eukaryota; Viridiplantae; Streptophyta; Magnoliopsida; Poales; Poaceae. The record is from RNAcentral.